GUGGCGGACGGGUGAGUAAUGCUUGGGAAUCUGGCUUAUGGAGGGGGAUAACUACGGGAAACUGUAGCUAAUACCGCGUAGAAUCGGGAGAUGAAAGUGUGGGACCUUCGGGCCACAUGCCAUAGGAUGAGCCCAAGUGGGAUUAGGUAGUUGGUGGGGUAAAGGCCUACCAAGCCGACGAUCUCUAGCUGGUCUGAGAGGAUGGCCAGCCACACCGGGACUGAGACACGGCCCGGACUCC
Molecule: ribosomal RNA, 241 nt
Filed under: uncultured Pasteurellaceae bacterium
Lineage: Bacteria; Pseudomonadati; Pseudomonadota; Gammaproteobacteria; Pasteurellales; Pasteurellaceae
Description: partial 16S ribosomal RNA
Rfam family: Bacterial small subunit ribosomal RNA
Source: RNAcentral